AUUACCAGGAUCUAUUAUUUACUCCAUCAAUCCUAAAGCUCUCUCCGGUAUCAACACUUACAAGGAUUGCUCUCAAGGUAUGGGAAAGUAUAAGGAUUGUGAAUAUAAGCUGCAGGGUUGGGACGGAUACCAAUGUGGGUUCUGCGGAGCCGAAUUCAAAACUAGAAACAAAAUGACCCAACACCAGAUUGCGUACCAUAUGGCGGAAUUGACGAUGCAAAGUUGUAAACUUGUGCCGGAUACCAGGACGCGGCAAGAAUCACCACGAAUCACCUGAGCCGAACGAUUGUGAUAAUUUAAUUAAAUAGUUUUUCAGUUUUAAAUGAAGACAUUCCGAAAAAUGCUUCUCCACAGAAUUUCUUCUGGAAUUUUGUGUAGCUUAAGACUUCCACUUCCUGUACAUCCUUUAAAUCAUCUCUGGAUUGUUCGGUAGGUUGACCCAUCCAUAGUCCCGAAACAAAACCUUCAAGCUUAGUCCUGUUAUUUUCAGGCUUAAUUUUCCCAGAUUAAAUCUUGAAGUUACUCUAAUAAUUACCUAAAAUGGCCAUCCUAGAGUCUGAGUGCUUUUAUUUAAGCUUAAUGAAAUUAUCAUUUAAAGCCUUUAGAAAUAAAAAUUGAUUUAAAAUAUAA
Molecule: long non-coding RNA, 630 nt
Organism: Eurytemora carolleeae
Lineage: Eukaryota; Metazoa; Arthropoda; Copepoda; Calanoida; Temoridae
Exons: 3
Source: RefSeq, a predicted model, not a curated record